GGGAUCGUAGUUCAAUUGGUUAGAGCGCCGGCCUGUCACGCCGGAGGUUGCGGGUUCGAGCCCCGUCGAUCCCG
RNAcentral lists this transfer RNA (74 nucleotides) under bacterium. RNAcentral's name for it is "tRNA-Asp". It matches the Rfam family "tRNA". From Rfam's summary of the family: Transfer RNA (tRNA) molecules are approximately 80 nucleotides in length. Their secondary structure includes four short double-helical elements and three loops (D, anti-codon, and T loops). The record is from RNAcentral. RNAcentral also lists the same sequence under 1 other name.